UACGGAGGGGGCGAGCGUUAUUCGGAAUUAUUGGGCGUAAAGGGCGCGUAGGCGGCCCGGUAAGUCAAAGGUGAAAUCCCUCGGCUCAACUGAGGAACUGCCUUUGAAACUGUCGGGCUUGAGGUCGGGAGGGGGUAGCGGAAUUCCCAGUGUAGCGGUGAAAUGCGUAGAUAUUGGGAGGAACACCAGUGGCGAAGGCGGCUACCUGGACCGGUUCUGACGCUGAGGCGCGAAAGCGUGGGUAGCAAACAGG
Molecule: ribosomal RNA, 253 nt
Filed under: uncultured bacterium
Lineage: Bacteria
Description: partial 16S ribosomal RNA
Rfam family: Bacterial small subunit ribosomal RNA
Source: RNAcentral